Neogale vison (American mink) is the source of this 1676-nucleotide non-coding RNA. Lineage: Eukaryota; Metazoa; Chordata; Mammalia; Carnivora; Mustelidae. The record is from the annotation of a RefSeq genome assembly.
AUGGUGGGCCUGGGCUGGACGGCGGAGCUGACCCCACAGCCCCUCCGUCUGCUCCGGCCGCGGGGGCCUGCAGGAAACUCACACGUCCACACACGUCCCCGUGACGUCGGAGCCACGCGGCCUCGCUCGGACGAAGCGCAGGAGAUGGUCCGGAGCCUCCUGGAAUGUCCUCGUCGCGACGAUCGAUCAGAAGACCUGCCCCACGGACCCCAGCAUGAGGACAAGGGCUGGGCUCACGCCGACCGCGAGAGCCAGAGGCCACCGCACGGGGCAGCGUGCGCGCGCCCCGAGCCAGGGAGGCCGCUGUGCCGGUCGCCGGGGCUGACGGCCGGGCGGCGCCUCGGGAACGGGCCUGAGGGCUGCAGGAGUGCAGCUUCCACCACGGCCCCAUCGGUUUUCCCACUGGCCCCCAGCUGCGGGGCCACCCCCGGACCCACAGUGGCCCUGGCCUGCCUGGUGUCCGGCUACUUCCCUGAGCCUGUCACUGUGUCCUGGAACUCCGGCUCCUUGACCAGCGGUGUGCACACCUUCCCGUCCGUCCUGCAGUCCUCGGGGCUCUACUCUCUCAGCAGCAUGGUGACCGUGCCCUCCAGCAGGUGGCCCAGCGACACCUUCAUCUGCACCGUGGCCCACCCAGCCAGUAACACCAGGGUGGACAAGAGAGUGACCCCAGGAGAAACUCCUGACCCAUGCACAUGUCUCCAGCGUCCAGAAUGUAAUAUGCUCGGAGCACCUUCGGUCUUCAUCUUCCCCCCGAAACCCAGGGACGUCCUUAAGAUGGCCCACACCCCCGAAGUCACGUGCGUGGUGGUGGACCUGGCCCAAGAAGACCCUGAGGUCCAGAUCAGCUGGUUCGUGGACAACCAGGAGGUGCACACGGCCCAGACGCAUCUGCGUGAGCAGCAGUUCAACAGCACCUUCCGUGUCGUCAGUGUCCUCCCCAUCCAGCACCAGGACUGGCUCAAGGGGAAGGUCUUCAAGUGCAAGGUCAACAACAAAGCUCUCCCAGCUGCCAUUGAGAGGACCAUCUCCAAGGCCAGAGGGGAAGCCCAUCAGCCCAGUGUGUAUGUCCUGCCCCCACCCUGGGACGAGCUGAGCAAGAACAGGGUCAGUGUGACCUGCCUGGUCAAAGACUUCUACCCACCUGACAUUGAUGUGGAGUGGCAGAGCAACGGCCAACAGUUUCCAGAGGCCAGUGUGCGAACAACCCCGCCCCAGCUGGAUGCGGACGGCACCUACUUCCUCUACAGCAAGCUCUCGGUGGACAAGGCGCGCUGGCAGCGGAAAGAAACCUUCACGUGUGCGGUGCUGCAUGAAGCCCUACACAACCACCACACGCAGAAGACCAUCUCCCAGUCUCCGGAGCUGCUCCUGGACGACAGCUGUGCCGAGGACCAGGACGGGGAGCUGGACGGGCUGUGGACCACCAUCUCCAUCUUCAUCACCCUCUUCCUGCUCAGCGUGUGCUACAGCGCCACUGUGACCCUCUUCAAGGUGAAGUGGAUCUUCUCCUCGGUGGCGCAGCUGAAGCACACGAUCGUCCCCGACUACAGGAACAUGAUCGGCCAGGGGGCCUAGGGCCGGUCCUCGUGGCCGGUGUCCAGGGCCGCCCUCGACACCCCACGGGAACCGGCUGCAUCGGUUCGUGCCGCUCGGCCUGCUGCCAGGCCUGCCCC